GGACAUCUGGGUGAUCUGUCUGUGAUAGCCAUCACCCACUGACCUCUUGGAAUGAGUCACUUGAUCUGGCUGGCUGGAGGGCUAGACUGCCUCAGUCCUUUCUGCUCUAUAUACAUCUGUCAAAAAACUUAGUCCCGGGGGUUUGAACUAUUCCCCCAAUUAAAGAGGAUAAGAAUUCUUCAGUCAAGAAAGUGGAAGUGGUAGUUCUUUGGGGUCUAGCUCCGAAGUUACUUUUCCAGUGAAACCUUUCCUGAAGUCUUU
Unclassified non-coding RNA from Macaca nemestrina (pig-tailed macaque), 261 nucleotides. Its record names the gene 7SK. It matches the Rfam family "7SK RNA". Rfam says of the family: 7SK was discovered as an abundant small nuclear RNA in the mid-70s but a possible function has only recently been suggested. Two independent studies have found that 7SK RNA binds the CDK9/cyclin T complex (known as elongation factor P-TEFb). The record is from Ensembl. NCBI's taxonomy places the organism in Eukaryota, Metazoa, Chordata, Mammalia, Primates, Cercopithecidae.